This 319-nucleotide long non-coding RNA is filed under the name Gallus gallus (chicken). Lineage: Eukaryota; Metazoa; Chordata; Aves; Galliformes; Phasianidae. The record is from RNAcentral.
CAGGGUCUGAAAUUAUUGUCCAGAUACAAUUUAAAUUAUUCCCAUAUCCUUCUGGAUAAUCGGGUGAAAGUACAGUUCCCAUUGGUGCAGUGAAAUUGGAAAGGCAAGGAAAAAUACAAAUUGGUAUGUUUGCAGACCACUGAUUGUUUUCUUGGCAAAUUAUAGAUUUCUCUCCAAUUAAUUCAAAUCCAAAAUGACACUCAAAUCUUAAAACAUCUCGAUUGGAAAAUCCAUCUCCUUCUCUGAUGCCAUACAACGGUGUUCCAGGAUCACCACAGCUUUCCUUUUCAAUUUCUUUGUAAUUAACCUUGAAACCAAC